CCAAGUAUUGAAGAGAGCUGUCAAGUACAAUUCCAGAGCGGAGAUCUGCCAGUUAGAGCAGGAGACCCCUCUUUCUAGUUUCAAGUUACACUUGUUGGGAGUAUGGGGCAGAGAACCCAGGAGUACCACUUUGAACUUGACUCUUCAUUGGCCCAGGCUUCCAGUCGUCCACAGACGUGCCAAGAAACCUGGACAGGGCAAAAGCAAGCAUUUUAGCGCCCAGUCCGGAGUGCAAUUCCAGGCACGUGAAAGGCUUGGGGACAGCUGUCUCCUUGGCCCCUUCUCCUUCCGCAGCCCCGCAGGGAGCGGGGUAGCCACUCUGUCGGGGGCACCAACACUCAGCAGCACCGCUCGAGGAGUCCUGACCAGCACGCCCUCUCAAACCUGCCGAGAACUGAACCAGGACAGAAGAGGGGGUGCAGCCUGAGCGUCCCUUCGGGGGCUCAUUUCAGUGCCUAGAGAAACUUUGCGAGCGAGAAGCACGACGUGCGGGGCGCCAGCCCGGGAGGGCAAAGGCAGAUGCCGUCAGACUCUUGGACGCCCCGUCGGCUGCUGGGGUCCUCCCUGACCUGCAGUUCCAGCUGCGAGAGAACCAAAGUUCUACAGGAAAGGGAGACCCAAGAUUUGACUCUCCCCUGCAACACCUCCAAACUCAGCAGGAACAGAGAAUGAGUCUAAAGGCUCUUGGCAUCUUGGGGCGCCUGGGUGGCUCAGUCGGUUAAGCAUCUGCCUUCGGCUCAGGUCAGGAUCCCAGGGUCCUGGG
Zalophus californianus (California sea lion) is the source of this 763-nucleotide long non-coding RNA. RefSeq lists it as uncharacterized. The transcript is spliced from 3 exons. The record is from RefSeq and is a predicted model, not a curated record. Lineage: Eukaryota; Metazoa; Chordata; Mammalia; Carnivora; Otariidae.